This 5561-nucleotide long non-coding RNA is filed under the name Lynx pardinus (Iberian lynx). The record is from RNAcentral. Lineage: Eukaryota; Metazoa; Chordata; Mammalia; Carnivora; Felidae.
AGGAGAGAGCGGGGCGGCCGGGGCAGGGGCGCCUGGAGCCUCGUCGCUGAUGAGCUCUCCCAUGAGGUCAGGGAACGACGAGAGACCGAAGGGCUCCAGUUCGCUGGCCCCAGCAGCUCCUCCAAACAAGGCCUCCCCUCUGCCUCCCCUGCCUGCUGGCUCCAAGGGGGCAGGUGAAGGUGGGGGCGAAGGAGGGGGUGAAGGUGCGGGGGGGGCAGCCCCCUGGGCCUUGAGCUCCUCCCCGCUACCGUCAUCUUGAAUAAAGAAACGGUUUCCUCUUCUCCCACCUGCCCCUGGCGGUGGAGGGGGACCCCGAGCAGCCGCCUGGGGCUCCAGGGCAGCAGCGGGUUCUAGGGCAGGGCAGGGGGUGUGGGCGGCCUCUGCCUCGGGGAAGUCCGGGCUCACCCCCUGGCCCCCUCCGUAUGUCUGGCCCCUCUGGGGGCUGUUGAGAAAACGAUCGGGGUCGAAAGCAGGGCUGGGAGGAGCUGGUGGGGCAGGGGGCUCGGAUCCUACAACCACAGCCAAGCUCACGGAAGGCCUGGGGUCAGCCUGGGGGGCCAAGUGCCUGGUGGGCGUCAAGCCCCCAGUGCGCUGCUCCAGUCCCGUCAGGAGGAGGAUUGCGGUGCCUCCUCUGGAUGACGCCCCUCGAGAGGUGGGUGGGCUAGGUCUGAUCUCUAGGGGUUCCGCAAAGCCUGAGGAAGAGGAGGAAGAGGAGGAGGAAGAAGAAGGGGAAGUAUGUGCCUUGGGGAGCUCUGGGGGAAGAGGGGCGAUCAGCGGAGGAGGCUCAGGGGGGUGGGGGUGGGAGACAGAGGUCAGGGUUAAAGCUCGGGGCUCCACUUUGGGAGAGAUGAUGCGGUGUUUCGUGCUGCUGCAUUUGUGGGUGAGGCUCCCGGAACCUGCAGCGGAAAAGGGUGGGAGGAGAAAAGGGAAAGGACACUUCAUUCUCCACCUUCCCUUACCGGCAGCCUCCAGGCGUUUCCUGGCCCUUUGCGGGUGUACGAGAUGUAAUACCGACUGUGGCCACUGGGAGGCAGAAGCGGUGCCCCUUCUCCCCAAAUUAACAGGACUGCAGGAGCCCGCAGAAGAGUAGCUGAGAGAGACUCGUAAAGGCACAGAAACAGGACAAGAGAACAGAGCCGAGGCGGUACCGUCUAGGUGUCAACCGCCGGGCUGGGGUGGCCCAGAGAUGCUAAGAGUAGGAGACAGGGAAGGAGCCAGGGCUGCUGGAACUCCGGGGAAAGGAGCCCGUGUGCAGCCAGCCGGGAAGGCCUCUGCUCCUCUGGCCCAGCUUUCUGGGACGUGCAAAAGACAUGCAAAUCCUCAUGCAAAUCCUGGCAGGCCGGGGGAGCCCUCGGCCAGAGGAGGCGCGGCGUGGCCAGGGGUCACUAACCGAGGCCUCCACUGCAGAGGCAGGCGUGGGUUCGGGGUGCGGGCUUGGUCGGGUGGCUGUCCAGGAUCUGCUGCACCAGCUGCUCUACGGAGAACUCCUCUGUGCCGUUCCCACAGCUCCACUUGAUGCCGUGAACUGUGGGGGUGGGGGUGGGGUGCGGGGAGGGGGUGCCAUGGGGCUCGCACACCGUCCCCACAGCGCCCCGCCGGCUUCUCCAAGCACCUGACACGCUCCGAGGCUUCUGGCCAGCUGCCUCAAAGCAGCUCGGACACGCAGCUCCCAAAUGUCCCUCAGCCCCCUCUCUCCGCGUUCCCGGACCUCAGGACACGGCGGGAGUCCGGGCGGCCCCUCGGAAAAGCACCCUCCCGGGCUCCCGGGUGCAGAGGCCCUCGUCCGCACGCCCCCAGCAGCCCCCAGCAGUGCCGCCCUAGCCCCCCGCGGGCCUUACACAUGGGCUUCAGCUGCCCCAGCAGCUCCUCCCGGGGCCACUUCAGCCACUCGCGACGGUCGCCGCUGAUGGAGCAAAACAUGGGGCUGCAGCCCUUUCCGCAGUCCUCCAGGGCUGGGACGUUCAGGUAGUGCACAAGCACGAUGUCAGGGUUCUGGGAGCCCAAGGCAGACACACAGCGCCAUGGGGUCCAUGGGGGGCUCGGCUUCCUCGUCCUGGCCUCCUUCCCGCGUGCCCCCGGCCUCACCGCCCCCCCCCCCCCCCCGACGUGUGACUUUCUCCACCCCUACCCCCCUUCUUCCCAGCCCCCAGCUCCCUGAGCCCCGUGGCCUCACCUGGAGCAGCCAGUAACAGCGCCGAUGGAAUGUGGGGACGAUGGAAGAGUGAACGUAGCAGCCAUAGAGACACUGCCAGGAGACAGGCUGGGGUGGGGGGAGGGCUAGUCUGCUCCCCGACUCUUCCUCUGUUCGGUCCCUUUGCAGGAAUCCCAACCUUUCCAGCAGCUCCUCUUUCCCCAGCCCACCCCCGCCCCCUGCCCCGGGGGGGGGGGCUCCCCAUGCGCCUUCCCAGUCCUAGCACCCAGACAAGGCCCAGACUGGAGGCGGGGGAGGGGCUGUCUGGAGAUGGGGAGGCAGGGCGAGAGCACAGCCCAGCAGAGGAGCCGCCGCGACUUGUGCUCAGGGCUUCCGGACACAGGCCCCCGAGGGAAUCCAGGAGAAGCGAGGGGCGUGGGCGCUGAUGCCCUCCCAGGAGCCUGAUCCCAGAGAGCUGGCCGGGGAGGGGGCCGUGGCACGUGAGUGAGAAGGGAAGGGUGGCAGGGGGGAGGGGGACACAGGUCACCGGGCCCCAGCAUGGCUGGGACCGGGCCGAGGACGGACGGCUGGCACCCGGCUCACCUCCAUGCCCUGGACUUUCAGCUUCAUGUGGUCCUCGCGGGUGGUCUUCCCGUCCUUGCGCUUCUUCCAGAGGUAACCAUCCUUCCGGUACUUCACCUUCUUGCGGUUGUAGAGGAUAAUGGAGCCGUUCUGAGGCCUGGGAAGGGAAGGGUUGGCCCUGCGUUCUGGAAACAGGAUCUGGGACCCCCUGCCACUCCCCACCUCACGAACCUCACCUUGUCUUUGGGGCACAGGACAGCCACUCGUCAUGCUUCUCAAAGGUGAUCAAAUAGGACGCAAUUUCCUGUAGGACAGGGGGCGCUCAGGUGGGUGUCCCCUUCGCAGAGUCUCAGCCUGGCCUCCCACUCCUGGCCCUCGGCCCCACUCUCUCCUGAGUUCCGGCGGCCAGGGCGGGCUGGCGCCCACGUCUGCUCCCAACCGGGACCACCACCUCCCGAGAACCCCGGGCUUCAUCUCAGACGAGAGUCUAACCUCUCCUUCCCUCCUCUCGAUGCGGGCCUUGACCUUGGGGUCAAGUCUGAUCUCUUCAUCAUCAACUCUUCAUGCUGCCCUGUUACUUCGCUCUUUCUAAAACCUAUCUUCGUGUCUUCUUCUGACUCAAGAAACCUAAAUGGCUCGACACGGCCAGGAAUUCUGGAUUCCUCAGCCCGGCUCCAAGGUUCUCUCGGACCAGGAAUCAAGUCACUGCUCUCCCUGUUUACCUAUAUCCCAUCUACCACUCCUACCAGGCCGGUCCAUCGACUCUCCUCUGAACGUGCCCUGAGCGGUCAGCUCCCGCGUGUCAGUAUCCUAUAGGCCGGACGUGCCUAGAUCUCCUAGCCACCCCAUAGGGCAAAUCCCUUCCCACCUCUCCGAAAAGCCCUGCUCGCUGCCCUUAGCUUCCCCACACUUUUAACAUCACCACCCACGUACGUUUUUGCCGAUGAUCCUCGUUUAAUGAAUUAAGUCAGUGAUGAUCAAACAGCACAACGUAUCGUGUGUGCGGAGUACAGAAGGGGUGUAACACGAGGGCCGUGCCUCCGGAAAGAGCCAACACCGGUGGCGGUUUUAUUAACAGCAGAGGCUCUAUGGUCAAAUAGACCCCACAAGGUAGACCGGUUGCCUCGUCCACAGCACAGGGGUGACAGUGUCUGCCCCACAGGGUCAUUCAAGGACUGGAUGAGAUAACACAGGUCAGCACGGUACUAGGUUUGUAAGGAAGAUUUUGUAGGUGGUAACUGUUAUUUUUACCCAGGUGGACGUGCCCAGAAGCAAGCUCCUACGAGAUACAGGUCUUUACACCUCCUCCGUGACCCGCAAAGAGCUUAGAGCAAUACUGUGCAAUGAGGAGCAUGGACACAGGAAGACCCCCACUGGCCUUCCUCCAACCCACCAGGCCUUGCGAGGUCCUCCUCCCCCCAAGCUCCCUGGAGAACCUCAUUUGUAUUCCAGCGAAGCCGCUCUGGAGGCAGCAGUGGACAGCGAGGAAGACACUCCAGCAGCUUCUUGGGGAGAAAGAUCUUCAGGUGGUGGCUGUUCUCUAGGGGGAAGCAGAAGAAAGGGCUUCUGUCAGGGCGGCUUCUGACACCUCUGUGACGGCCCAGGGCAAAAGGGCCGGAUCCAAAGCCCUGGGAGCAUCUGGAACCAGGACAAGGAGAGCAGGGAUCCAAGAACCAAGGGUCACCACAGACUGUGUACUCACCAGCAACCUCGGUGGUGUCCUUGGUAUUCAUGUUGAGGGCUCCAGGGGGCAAGGUCACCCCCGGCCUGAGAGGCCGGGGGGAGGGGGAGUCUGUGCUGGGAAGGCAGAGAACAAGGUCACGGCAGAAGGCCCACAUUGACCCAGGAUGAGGAGAAUAAGGCGGGAGAGGGCUGCGGAGCUGGGUUGCGGUACCCGGGAAAGAUGAAGAGGUGAGGGGAAAGGGCUAGACUGAGAUGGGAGAGUAGAGCAGAAUCGAGCAGAGGGAGACUCCAGACCUCGUGAGAGGAACCAGCAGGAGUGGGGAGACACCCCCUCUCCGACAGAAUCAUCAGGAAGAGACAAAUGGGGUGGGGGAGGGGAGAAGGCUGGAGGGGUGGCGCUUCAGAGGACCCAGAGUGAGUGUAUAUGUGUGUGUGUGUGUGUGUGUGUGUGUGUGUGUGUGUGAGGGGGGGGGGUCUUGUGGAGGCUGGGGCUACAGUGGGGUCAGGGCCUGGGGGUGGGACUCCGGGCACCUGGUCCUUGGAGGAUGGUUUGGCAGACGACAGCCUGGACGCUGGGGGCAGGGCGGGAGAUCUAAGUCCGCUGGAGAGCUAGGCCUUACAAGACACACCCUGAGUUCCUUCUCGAUUUGAUAUUUGCAAGGGGAAGGGCAUAUCUGACGACUGAUCCUAACCUACGCCCUCUCCUCCAGGUUGGUCAGGGCCUGGGAGGAUCCAUCCGGGCCAGGUACCCAGACCCCAGCUUCCCUCCCUCCGGACGACCCAUCCUCCACUCUGAGGCCGACGGCCCUCCCCACCCCUCCCCCACCAGCUCUCUCCCCAAACGCCUCUGCCUGCCCCCGGCCUCCAGGCCCACCGUACCCCAUCUACCACUCGGGCUCCAGCCUGAGCCCCCACCCUCCCGAGGGCACAGAUGGAAGCGGGAGGAUGCUCUCAGCGCGGGCUCGGGGCUGCGGGCUCCGCCAGGUGUCCGGGGCGGAGAGGGGAGGAGGUCGGUCCGCGCCGGCAGAGCUCCGGGCAGCCGGGUCUGGGUAAGGACUCCGCCCCAGGGCGCAGGUGCGCAGUCCGGGCCAGGCAGCCUGCCAGGGUGCGGAGCGGCCCCGGGCGGGGGUCCCCGGAGAAGCCCCGACGUGGGAGGGUCCGCCUC